Long non-coding RNA from Nerophis ophidion (straightnose pipefish), 4621 nucleotides. RefSeq lists it as uncharacterized. The record is from RefSeq and is a predicted model, not a curated record. Lineage: Eukaryota; Metazoa; Chordata; Actinopteri; Syngnathiformes; Syngnathidae. The transcript is spliced from 3 exons.
UGAAGAGUGCAGGGCCAAGGACCGAACCCUGGGGAACUCCACACGUUACCUUAACAUAGUCCGAGGUCACACUGUUAUAGGAGACGCACUGCAUCCUAUCAGUAAGAUAAGAGUUAAACCAUGACAGGGCUGAGUCUGACAUACCAAUUCGUAUUUUGAUACGCUCUAAUAAAAUAUUAUGGACGUCUCCAUAAUAUAUAUGGAGACGUCAAAGAAGAAAGAUGUAGGUGGGAAGCGGUGUAUUGCGGCUGCCUUUAGCAAGACAAACACAGCCGGUGUUUCCUUGUUUACUUUCCCGAAAGAUGACGGUAAAGCUUUACUAUGGAACAGAGCGGUCAAGCGAACACGGUUCCCUAACACAUGUCAAACGGCAGGUUUCGGUGAGAAAAUUGUGGUAAUAAGUUGGCUCUUACUGUAGACAUGAGCGGAGAGCAUGCGUCGUUCCUCCUGCACCUGUCAAAGAGGCAGCUGCGGACUCUCUUGCCUCCUCCGACCGGCCGCCCCCGAACGUGGGAUGCUUCCACCGUGGAGGAGGGGGAAAAAAAGCUCAGCCUGGCCCUAACGGCUGCCUUCGCUUCGCCUUGUCGGGAAACGUGGCUUCCCUCAGAGACACUGGCGGUCACCACACCCGUGGCCACACCCCUCCAACUUUCAGGUACCAUAUAAUCUCACUAAAACACUAGUAACGCUCUCAACUGCUCAGCGGAAUCUCAGAGAGCUGAAAGAUUUUGAUAAUUUACACACAAUUUUUCUAACAGUAACACAAUAAGCAGAUAAGGGAUUUUCCAGAAUUAUCCUAGUAAAUGUGUCUAAUAACAUCUGAACCGCUCCCACUGCCGUCGCCUUUUUUUUCUUUUUUUUCCUAGUCCUUCACUCUAACUUUCCUCAUCCACAAAUCUUUCAUCCUCGCUCAAAUUAAUGGGGAAAUCGUCGCUUUCUCGGUCUGAAUCACUCUAGCUGCUGGUGGCCAUGAUUGUAAACAAUGUUCAGAUGUGAGGAGCUCCACAACCCGUGACGUCACGCGCACAUCGUCUGCUACUUCCGGUACAGGCAAGGCUUUUUUAUUAGCGACCAAUAGUUGCAAACUUUAUCGUGGAUGUUCUCUACUAAAUCCUUUCAGCAAAAAUAUGGCAAUAUGGCGCAAUGAUGAAGUAUGACACAUAGAAUGGACCUGCUAUCCCCCUUUAAAUAAGAACAUCUCAUUUCAGUAGGCCUUUAAGAGCAGGGACCAUCAUGAAAGAUAAGGAUGGUACAUUUCUACAUGAUAAGAUCUGCUACUGUCCUGGGUUCAAAUCCAGGCUCGGGAUCUUUCUGUGUGGAGUUUGCAUGUUCUCCCCGUGAAUGCGUGGGUUCCCUCCGGGUACUCCGGCUUCCUCCCACUUCCAAAGACAUGCACCUGGGGAUAGGUUGAUUGGCAACACUAAAUGGUCCCUAGUGUGUGAAUGUGAGUGUGAAUGUUGUCUGUCUGUCUGUGUUGGCCCUGCAAUGAGGUGGCGACUUGUCCAGGGUGUAGCCCGCCUUCCGCCCGAUUGUAGCUGAGAUAGGCGCCGGCGCCCCCCGCGACCCCGAAAGGGAAUAAGCGGUAGAAAAUGGAUGGAUGGAAGAUCUGCUGCUAUGAAUAUUACUGAGUUACCUGUUACAUCUCAGGACAACAGGUGUGUACUUGUGGUUUAAAGACUACUUUACACGCUAUGUCAACCUUUUCCAGCGUGUCUUUACAGUAGCAAAAUGUAUGUUUGAGGACUAUAUCAGACAACAUGGGUUGCCAGAGUGUAGUCACACAGACCAGGUAGGCAAUUGGAGUCAGACCUUGUAAAACACUUUGGAAAACCUUGCUGGAAUAGUUACCUCUACUGCCCCCCAGUGGCCGUUAGAAAGGAUGCACACAUUUUGUGUUGAAGUCCUUAAAGCUGUCUUUCACUUUUUGUCUUGUCCUUUGUGUCCCAGAUGAAGUCGUGAGUGGCUCGGGGGAGGAUAGGCGGGACAUUAGCUCGGAAACAUUCUUCUUUUCUUUUUCACAAGAACUUUGCUGACAAAGUGCAAGUGUUUGUGGGCGUUACUGUACAUGUUGGUAUUGAUCACACCACCCAGUAAAUUCAAGGAACGUUUUCAAAAUCAUUAAAUGAUUUUAGACUUUCAUUUUGUGAACAAUAUACACAUAUAUUAAUAUAAACAUAUGGAGGAGUCAGAUAGGGGUGGUUAGGGCAUCUGGUCAGGAUGCCACCUGAACGCAUAGGGAGGUGUUUAGGACACGUCUGACCGGUAGGAGGCCACCAGGAAGACCCAAGACACCUUGGGAACGCCUCGGGAUCCAGGAGCUGGACGAAGUGGCUGGGGAGAGCGAAGUGUGGGUUUCCCUGCUUAGGCUGCUGCCCCCGCGACCCGACCUCAGAUAAGCGGAAGAAGACGGAUGGAUGGAUGAAUAAACAUAUAUGAAUACAACAAUAGUCGUGUGGAGAGAGAGUUUGGCCAACCCGGGUUUGGAGUCAGUGUCUAACAAGGCGCCCUCUAGUCACCUGAGGGGAUUUGACCAACUAUUACAUCUCAUGCUCUUCGUAUGUACCUAUCUUUAAUGUUUAUAGUACACAAUGAAUCAUAUUUAGCUGUGAAAUGUGUGUUUUUUAUGAUGUUAGACGAUCUCUGAUUACAUCACUUGUCCAUGCCAGCUAACUUUCAUUUGUUGUCAUCUGCCUCCAUCUAGUGGACGUUUGUUGUACUGUUACUUAUAGAAUUUACCGGUAAAUAGUAGACAUCUCAUCUGUCACUGGUAUUUAGUCAUUAUAACAAUACAUACAGUGGUGUGUGACAAAGUUAAACUUAGAUUUAAGUCACAUGGAAUACUUAAUAAUCUGUGGUCUGUGAUAUGACAUUAUUAAGUUCAUUUAAUUCAUGCAUUUACAAUGUUUGUGUCCUACAGUUUCACCCUUUCAAUUGUCAAUCAACCUGGCCUCCAUCAGUCAACCUGGUGUUCAGAGGGAAUUAAAAAAAGGGAAUAAGCGGUAGGAAAUGGAUGGACAAGGUGUAUCGCCACAAUUUUAACCACUUUUGUCAUUGCAAUGAAUGACGCACGGGGGCGCCACUAACUCCCAUCGCAUCAUUUAUUUUUUAAAUGAUGAUAUUUUUUAAACCAAAUACUUACUGAAACCUAACAAAAAAUAUAUUUUACCUUUUCAGAAAUAAAUGAAUUAUUAUAAAAUAGUAAAAAAAAAAAUCGUUUUGUUUUCCAUUUAAGGCUGCUAGAUACAUCUUUAAGGUGUGCGAUUUCAUAAAGAACAACGUAUUUUUUAAUGUUUGUUUUGUAUGUAAUGGUUUAUGAUGACAUUGUUAUUGAAGUACAGAUGACACCAAAGAACGCGACCACCAAAAGGGGAAUAAGCGGUAGAAAAUGGAUCGAUGGAAGGACUAAAGAAGCAUGGGUCGCAAGGGGUGCUGGAGCCUAUCUCAGCUACAUUCGGGCGAAAGGCGGGGUAUAAACUGGACAAGUCGCCACCUCAUCACAGAGCCAACACAGAUAGACAGACAACAUUCACACACUAGGGCCCAUUUAGUGUUGCCAAUCAACCUAUCCCCAGGUGCAUGUCUUUGGAGGUGGGAGGAAGCCAGAGUACCCGGAGGGAACCCACGCAGUCACGGGGAGAACAUGCAAACUCCACACAGAAAGAUCCGAACCCAGGACCUUGGCAUUAUGAGGCACACAUACCAGUGUUUCCAUAUAUAGGAUUGGUACCUAACAGAACUACACCUAGAAUUGGUUGUCUGUAUAAUAAAAGCAUUCUCAGGCCCCUGCAGUCUACAUAUAAACUUAAACAUCAGUUUUCUCAGGGUGGCGUGGAAGGUGUUUAUCCCUAAAUGACAAAAAAGCUUGCUGGCACUACUACCCCUGGCCUUUCUGAGCAGGAUUCUGAGACACUCAUUAUAUGCAAGCUGGAGUUUGUGCAAGUUCUUUUUCUUGAACCUCACCCAGAGGGGUGCUGUGUACAUAGGGGUGCAGUAAGCUCUAAACAAGUACACCUUCGCCUUAUCAGAGCAGUAAUGACAUUUUCUCACCAGCAUAUUGGCUUUCUUCUCGGUCUAAGCAUGUCAGCAUCAUCCUCCAUCUUGUCAUUGAUGAUGCGGCCUAAGUAUUUGACAUUGUUGCACACAGACAGGGUUUGACCAGACAAAUAGAAACCUGGGAAAUGAGGAUGUUGAUCCUCCUUGGUCCUACAUAUCAUUACCAUACUCUUUGUGGCUGACUCCAAAGUGUGAGCAUAUGUUAAGAAGCUGCUGGAACCCUGCACUACUGGGAGAUAUAAUGGCCAAAUCAUCAGCGUACAUCAAGUGGUUGAUGAAGGUGUUCCCAUCAUGCAUCCUGUUCUGCAUUCUCCCACUGCCUUGACAGGUCAUCCAUAGACAGGCUAAAUAGGCCUGGUGAUAGAAGCCCACCCUGCCGUACCCCAUUGCCAACUCUAAAGAGAGAGGAUAAACUACUCCCCCAUUUGACCUGCAUGGUCUGCCUGUGGUAGCAAUAUGCCAGAAUAUACCCACAACACCCCUGUGCUUCAGAUUGCUGAAGAGUUGGAGAUGGUUGACUCUGUCAAAUGCCUUAGAUGCGUCAAUAAACCCCACCGACAUUGUAGAA